Molecule: long non-coding RNA, 434 nt
Filed under: Bos taurus (domestic cattle)
Lineage: Eukaryota; Metazoa; Chordata; Mammalia; Artiodactyla; Bovidae
Description: long non-coding RNA NONBTAT007254
Source: RNAcentral
AUUUCUGGAAAUAAACCACUUUGCUAAUCACAUAUUUUCAUCCCAGGAAUCAGAUAGGAUGAACGUAAUGUUAAUAUACUUGGAAAGAAACUGCAUAAAAAUAUAAAACAGUACUGUUCUUAAUGAGCUUAAACAAUAUAGCCUUGAAUAAUUUUUUUCUGAAAACUUAGAAGUACAUAAUAUAAAGCUUUGGAAGUCAGUGAGAUAAUGGUAGCUCUUUAGAAAUAAAAGUUAAGAAAUAUAAAAGUAACUAAGGUUUAUCCAUAAAUCCAGAGGUUGUUCUGAACUAAAGUAGGUGAGUUUGUAAGCUGUCACAUUUGCCAUGGUCCUCUUUGACCAGCUAAAUAAAUCCUGGCUGAACUUUGAAUACAUAUCUUCAGUUAGGUUGCUAAAGAUUUUUAGAAUGUUUUAAAAUGUACCAUUCAGGAAAUACA